Molecule: long non-coding RNA, 2033 nt
Filed under: Marmota monax (woodchuck)
Lineage: Eukaryota; Metazoa; Chordata; Mammalia; Rodentia; Sciuridae
Source: RNAcentral
GGAGCAUUGGGCCCUCCAGUCCGUUUUUUGGCAAUGGAGCCUGAUGUCUUUCUCCACGAUAUCGUGGGUAAACACUUGGUCCUUGUCUGUUUUUUGAUAACGGAAUACCCUCUAUGGUGGUUUGAGAACGGCAUUCAUUAGCCCAAUGUUUCCCUCUACGGCAUCGUGGGCAAAUACCCGGUAUUCUAUUCCUUUGAUACCUAGCCUUGUUAAACCCUCCUCCUAUGGGGCAACUCCUUUUAAAAUGUCCUGUUUGAUCACAAUUAUAGCAUGUUUUUGGCCUGGCAUCUAAAGCCUGUUGUACUGCUGCUAAGACUUGCCCUUGUUCAUUAAUGUCUCUACAUAAUUUAAUAUAUGUGUUUAAAUCUUCAUGUUUCCAUGGUCUGAUGACCUCUCUGCAGCAACGAUUUGCUUGGUCAUAAGCCAGUUGUUUUAUAAAUGGCAUUGCCUGUUCUGUAUCUCCAAAUACUCUAGAUGCUGUCUGAAUAAGCCUAUCUACAAAUUCAGCGUAAGGUUCAUUAGCUCCUUGUAUUACCUUAGAUAAUUGUCCUUGUAAAUCUCCAUGCCCCUGUAAAGUUUUCCAUGCCUUAAUUGCAUCUACAGCAAUUUGUGCGUAUACGCCAGGAUCAUAUUCAAUUUGUUGCCGUUGACCCUCAUAAGGUCCUUUUCCUAAUAACAUAUCUAGAUUUCUUUGAGGGUAACCGGCUGCUGCAUUUCGCCUAGCUGUCUCCAUGCAAAAUUCCUCAUUGGCAACCUUCCAUAACAAAUAUUGUCCUCCAUUUAGCACAGAUCUACACAUGUUAGCCCAAUCUGCUGGCGUCAUGUCUAAGUUGGUAAUGGAUUCGACCAUGCUCACAGUGAAGGGUGCUUGUGGCCCGUAGGUUGUUACAGCCUCCUUUAAUUGCUUCACUGUUUUGAAAUCUAAAGCACGGUGAAUUCGUUGCCCUCCUGCCUGCUCAAGUACAGGGCAUGCUAAUCUUUGGGGUCCUGCCUCAGGAUUCCGUCCAUCAACUACGGGAGUUGAGGGCCGCUCAGCUGUAGAUGGAGCUGUUGGUUGAAUUACGCCCUCUGGUGAUAGAACGGGGUUAGUAGCAGCCUCCUGUUGUAAUUCCCCGCCUGAUGGUUGUUUUUCCUCUAAGCUUUCUUUCUUCAAAUCUUCCUCUGUCUGACUAGCUCGAGAGACCUUCUCUUUCGCUUGACCUAACAUGUUUUCUACCAUAGUCUGGACCUCUAACAAUUUACUUAACAGUCUUUCGGUUUGUUUUUUACUAGUUUCUAAUCUACUAUAAAGGUAACGCAACCCAAUAAGAUAGCAUAAAACAAAACCGAAACAGAAUGAAACAAAAACCAAACAAAGAAUAGUUGUAUCAAUUUUCUCUUUCUCAGGGCCGAACAACUUCAAACCUUGAGCCAACCAUUUUCCCCAGUUUGCCUGAGAAAAUUUUAGGGAUAGGCAGCUUGAAACAAAAACAAGAUGAAUCAAAACGAGAACACAUUGUUUUUUGAAAUGGUCACCCAUUUUGUUGCCUUCCCUCAGGGGCGAGCAAUUUUACUCACCUCCAAGCUUUAGGCGUUCCCCGUACGGGCCACCAGUUGCCGCAGUCUGGCUGCCACAAAAUCACGAGCCACUCAAGCAGGAACAAACUUUAUUUUUUGAAACUGCCGCCAAUGUCCAGUACACGCCCGGGAAGAUUUUUUGAUCCACCCACGCGGCCUCCUCCCUGAACCGCCAGAGAGAGCUCCUCCCCUGGAACUCCCUCCUGUACUUCCCCAACCAAUGGGAACUCUCCAGGAGUCCCGUAGUAGGCCUAGGUGAACAGCAGGAGUCCAAUAUCUAUAUGAAUGCAAAUCUUAACAUAAUCAUAUCAUCUCAAUGGCUAGCUGGCGUCACCUUUCAACCAAAAAUGCCAUGCAUCAUAUACUUGGCUCUUAGCAGGCAGCAGAAUGCAUUACAAUUCACAUUACACAUAUAGAACACGACUUUUCAAAUCUCUGGUUGUAUACAAAGUAUAUUCACACCAUUUGUGUCUUCA